Molecule: ribosomal RNA, 568 nt
Filed under: uncultured archaeon
Lineage: Archaea
Description: bacterial SSU rRNA
Rfam family: Archaeal small subunit ribosomal RNA
Source: RNAcentral
CGCGAAUUCGCCCUUCGGGGUGCAGCAGGCGCGAAAACUUUACAAUGCUGGCAACAGCGAUAAGGGGACCUCGAGUGCCAGGAUACAAUCUUGGCUGUCGCGAUGCCUAAAAAGCAUUGCAUAGCAAGGGCCGGGCAAGACCGGUGCCAGCCGCCGCGGUAACACCGGCGGCUCGAGUGGUAACCGCUAUUAUUGGGUCUAAAGGGUCUGUAGCCGGCCGGAUAAGUCUUUUGGGAAAUCCAGCUGCUCAACAGUUGGGCUUUCAGAAGAUACUGUUUGGCUCGAGACCGGGAGAGGUGAGAGGUACUUCAGGGGUAGGGGUGAAAUCUUGUAAUCCUUGAAGGACCACCAGUGGCGAAGGCGUCUCACCAGAACGGAUCUGACGGCAAGGGACGAAAGCUAGGGGCACGAACCGGAUUAGAUACCCGGGUAGUCCUAGCCGUAAACGAUACUCGCUAGGUGUCAGCCACGGUGCGACCGUGGUUGGUGCCGUAGGGAAGCCGUGAAGCGAGCCACCUGGGAAGUACGGCCACAAGGCUGAAACUUAAAGGAAUUGGCGGGGGAGCAC